GCCGGCGUGCCUAAUACAUGCAAGUCGAGCGAGCGGAACUAACAGAUUUACUUCGGUAAUGACGUUAGGAAAGCGAGCGGCGGAUGGGUGAGUAACACGUGGGGAACCUGCCCCAUAGUCUGGGAUACCACUUGGAAACAGGUGCUAAUACCGGAUAAGAAAGCAGAUCGCAUGAUCAGCUUUUAAAAGGCGGCGUAAGCUGUCGCUAUGGGAUGGCCCCGCGGUGCAUUAGCUAGUUGGUAAGGUAAAGGCUUACCAAGGCGAUGAUGCAUAGCCGAGUUGAGAGACUGAUCGGCCACAUUGGGACUGAGACACGGCCCAAACUCCUACGGGAGGCAGCAGUAGGGAAUCUUCCACAAUGGACGCAAGUCUGAUGGAGCAACGCCGCGUGAGUGAAGAAGGUUUUCGGAUCGUAAAGCUCUGUUGUUGGUGAAGAAGGAUAGAGGUAGUAACUGGCCUUUAUUUGACGGUAAUCAACCAGAAAGUCACGGCUAACUACGUGCCAGCAGCCGCGGUAAUACGUAGGUGGCAAGCGUUGUCCGGAUUUAUUGGGCGUAAAGCGAGCGCAGGCGGAAGAAUAAGUCUGAUGUGAAAGCCCUCGGCUUAACCGAGGAACUGCAUCGGAAACUGUUUUUCUUGAGUGCAGAAGAGGAGAGUGGAACUCCAUGUGUAGCGGUGGAAUGCGUAGAUAUAUGGAAGAACACCAGUGGCGAAGGCGGCUCUCUGGUCUGCAACUGACGCUGAGGCUCGAAAGCAUGGGUAGCGAACAGGAUUAGAUACCCUGGUAGUCCAUGCCGUAAACGAUGAGUGCUAAGUGUUGGGAGGUUUCCGCCUCUCAGUGCUGCAGCUAACGCAUUAAGCACUCCGCCUGGGGAGUACGACCGCAAGGUUGAAACUCAAAGGAAUUGACGGGGGCCCGCACAAGCGGUGGAGCAUGUGGUUUAAUUCGAAGCAACGCGAAGAACCUUACCAGGUCUUGACAUCUAGUGCCAUUUGUAGAGAUACAAAGUUCCCUUCGGGGACGCUAAGACAGGUGGUGCAUGGCUGUCGUCAGCUCGUGUCGUGAGAUGUUGGGUUAAGUCCCGCAACGAGCGCAACCCUUGUUAUUAGUUGCCAGCAUUAAGUUGGGCACUCUAAUGAGACUGCCGGUGACAAACCGGAGGAAGGUGGGGAUGACGUCAAGUCAUCAUGCCCCUUAUGACCUGGGCUACACACGUGCUACAAUGGGCAGUACAACGAGAAGCGAGCCUGCGAAGGCAAGCGAAUCUCUGAAAGCUGUUCUCAGUUCGGACUGCAGUCUGCAACUCGACUGCACGAAGCUGGAAUCGCUAGUAAUCGCGGAUCAGCACGCCGCGGUGAAUACGUUCCCGGGCCUUGUACACACCGCCCGUCACACCAUGGGAGUCUGCAAUGCCCAAAGCCGGUGGCCUAACCUUCGGGAAGGAGCCGUCUAAGGCAGGGCAGAUGACUGGGGUGAAGUCGUAACAAGGUAGCCGUAGGAGAACCUGCGGUUGGA
RNAcentral lists this ribosomal RNA (1516 nucleotides) under Lactobacillus crispatus. RNAcentral's name for it is "16S ribosomal RNA". It matches the Rfam family "Bacterial small subunit ribosomal RNA". Lineage: Bacteria; Bacillati; Bacillota; Bacilli; Lactobacillales; Lactobacillaceae. The record is from RNAcentral.